GGUUCCGUGGCGGAAUGGCUACGCAGAGGACUGCAAAUCCUUGUAUGGGGGUUCGAUUCCCUCCGGAACCUCCA
RNAcentral lists this transfer RNA (74 nucleotides) under Alphaproteobacteria bacterium. Its description in RNAcentral is "tRNA-Cys". It matches the Rfam family "tRNA". Rfam says of the family: Transfer RNA (tRNA) molecules are approximately 80 nucleotides in length. Lineage: Bacteria; Pseudomonadati; Pseudomonadota; Alphaproteobacteria. The record is from RNAcentral. RNAcentral also lists the same sequence under 3 other names.